GGCUGUGGCUCAGUGGCAGAGUGCUCGUCUAGCAUGCACAAGGCACUGGGUUCGAUCCCCAGCACCA
Molecule: transfer RNA, 67 nt
Filed under: Marmota monax (woodchuck)
Lineage: Eukaryota; Metazoa; Chordata; Mammalia; Rodentia; Sciuridae
Description: tRNA.Ala
Source: RNAcentral